GCCCACUUGGCUCAAUGGUAGAGCAGCGGUAUCGUAAACCGCAGGUUGUCGGUUCGAAUCCGACAGUGGGCUCCA
RNAcentral lists this transfer RNA (75 nucleotides) under candidate division WWE3 bacterium. RNAcentral describes it as "tRNA-Thr". It matches the Rfam family "tRNA". Rfam says of the family: Transfer RNA (tRNA) molecules are approximately 80 nucleotides in length. Their secondary structure includes four short double-helical elements and three loops (D, anti-codon, and T loops). The record is from RNAcentral. Lineage: Bacteria; candidate division WWE3.